This 247-nucleotide ribosomal RNA is filed under the name uncultured bacterium. RNAcentral's name for it is "partial 16S ribosomal RNA". It matches the Rfam family "Bacterial small subunit ribosomal RNA", at positions 523 to 769 of the family's 1533-position model. The record is from RNAcentral.
AUACGUAGGGUGCGAGCGUUGUCCGGAAUUACUGGGCGUAAAGAGCUCGUAGGUGGUUUGUCGCGUUGUCCGUGAAAACUCACAGCUCAACUGUGGGCGUGCGGGCGAUACGGGCAGACUAGAGUACUGUAGGGGAGACUGGAAUUCCUGGUGUAGCGGUGGAAUGCGCAGAUAUCAGGAGGAACACCGGUGGCGAAGGCGGGUCUCUGGGCAGUAACUGACGCUGAGGAGCGAAAGCGUGGGGAGC